Non-coding RNA from Ictidomys tridecemlineatus (thirteen-lined ground squirrel), 223 nucleotides. The record is from RefSeq and is a predicted model, not a curated record. Lineage: Eukaryota; Metazoa; Chordata; Mammalia; Rodentia; Sciuridae.
CUUUGAACUUGUGAUCCUUCUGCCUCAGCCUCCCGAGCUGCUGGGAUUACAGAUAUUUCCAGUAGAGGCGUUCCACACUACUAGCUGCUUGGGAGGCUGAGGCAAGAGGAUCCCAAGUUCAAGAGCUUUGGCAGCUUCUGGUUCCUAUACAGGCAGGACAGUUCCAGCAGCAGAAGCAUCAGGGCAUGCCCUGCACUCAUGCAGCUCUGACUUUGAAAGUGGU